UGGGGGAUAUUGGACAAUGGGGGCAACCCUGAUCCAGCGAUACCGCGUGUGUGAAGAAGGCCUGGGUUGUAAAGCACUUUCAGUGGGGAGGAGAGGUUAGUGGUUAAGAGCCUAUAGCUGAGACAUUACCCACAGAAGAAGCACCGGCUAACUCCGUGCCAGCAGCCGCGGUAAUACGGAGGGUGCGAGCGUUAAUCAGAAUUACUGGGCGUAAAGCGUGCGUAGGUGGUUAAUUAAGUUAUCUGUGAAAUCCCUGGGCUUAACCUGGGCAGGUCAGAUAAGACUGGUUGACUCGAGUAUAGGAGAGGGUAGUGGAAUUUCCGGUGUAGCGGUGAAAUGCGUAGAGAUCGGAAGGAACACCAGUGGCGAAGGCGGCUACCUGGCCGAAUACUGACACUGAGGCACGAAAGCGUGGGGAGCAAACAGG
Molecule: ribosomal RNA, 427 nt
Filed under: uncultured bacterium
Lineage: Bacteria
Description: bacterial SSU rRNA
Rfam family: Bacterial small subunit ribosomal RNA
Source: RNAcentral